Molecule: ribosomal RNA, 468 nt
Filed under: uncultured bacterium
Lineage: Bacteria
Description: partial 16S ribosomal RNA
Rfam family: Bacterial small subunit ribosomal RNA
Source: RNAcentral
GACGAACGCUGGCGGCGUGCUUAACACAUGCAAGUCGAACGGAAAGGCCCUGCUUUUGUGGGGUGCUCGAGUGGCGAACGGGUGAGUAACACGUGAGUAACCUGCCCUUGACUUUGGGAUAACUUCAGGAAACUGGGGCUAAUACCGGAUAGGAGCUCCUGCUUCAUGGUGGGGGUUGGAAAGGUUCGGCGGUUGGGGAUGGACUCGCGGCUUAUCAGCUUGUUGGUGGGGUAGUGGCUUACCAAGGCUUUGACGGGUAGCCGGCCUGAGAGGGUGACCGGCCACAUUGGGACUGCGAUACGGCCCAGACGCCUACGGGAGGGAGCAGUGGGGAAUAGUGCACAAUGGGCGGAAGCCGGAUGCAGCAACGCCGCGUGCGGGAUGACGGCCUUCGGGUUGUAAACCGCUUUCGCCUGUGACGAAGCGUGAGUGACGGUAAUGGGUAAAGAAGCACCGGCUAACUACGUG